Molecule: long non-coding RNA, 497 nt
Organism: Bubalus bubalis (water buffalo)
Lineage: Eukaryota; Metazoa; Chordata; Mammalia; Artiodactyla; Bovidae
Exons: 3
Source: RefSeq, a predicted model, not a curated record
GCGCAAAAACGUGCACACGCACACGCUCGCGCGCACGCACACAGACGCACGGGGUGAAUGGCGUGGUUUGGAACACCAGUGGUGCUUGCGAGGAGAGUGACUCAGCUUAUCGUGCAGCAACGGCUGUAGAAGUUCCAGGCCACACAGCCUCCCACCAUAUCCUCCAGCUAAAGGAUUGAAACAACUAAUAUCAGCUACCGUGCGUGUUUGUAAGGCAUUGCCUACAUUUUUGCAUCCAUUGGACAUGGCUUUUAAGUGCAACUUUUGGCUACGUUGGAGGGAGAGCCGGGAGAAAACUGUCCCAACUCCUUGUCAGAUACUGCCAUCUGCUGGUAAUUUUCUAACAUGAAACUUUGGACUAUACAAAACUAUAUUUCAGGACUCAAAAUUCUUGUUAUUCAUAUUAAUGUAAAACCUGGGACCCAAAUGAGUUAUGCUUGAAUAUUGUGUGUGUGCUUGAAUAUUAAGGUAAUAUAAAUAAAAUGUUAAGCUACCAA